CCAGCAAUCGGUGCCCUAGGCAAACGAAACACUGACGAGCUUGAUAAGAACAAGGAUGGCAAUAUUGACCAAUCAGAAGCUGAGGAACUGAUGGAAAGACGGGCAGCCGAGGAUCUUCUUUCACUUGCUGAUGAAAAUGGUGAUUCGAACGUGAGUGUGGAAGAGUUCUCGAGGAGCAUCCAUGACUUCAUGACCUUAGAUUCAGACCCACUGUUGCAAAAACAACUUGCAGAAGAGUUUGCUGAUGCAUUUGAGGAUGAUGCGGAAUAAAGCGCCCGAUCAACAUCUUUAUGAAAUGAUUUCAAUAAAAGAUUCUUGCAAACGUAAA
RNAcentral lists this unclassified non-coding RNA (328 nucleotides) under Haliotis rufescens (red abalone). Its description in RNAcentral is "uncharacterized LOC124129363, transcript variant X2". Lineage: Eukaryota; Metazoa; Mollusca; Gastropoda; Lepetellida; Haliotidae. The record is from RNAcentral.